GAGCUGAGAUCGGGUCGAGCUUGAUUCAGUUACCAGACGUAUCAAGAAAGGGUGAGAGGUGCCGGGGCGACCGCGGACGAUGAGGACGUUUCCGGCGAGUAGGGCUUCCAGGAGCGCGAGGAGGAUGGGCGGAGUGCUGGUGGGAGCAGCGGAAUGAACGGAUCCAAGUUCCUUUUGGAGUUCAAGUUCGUGCAAAGAGUCCACAAGGGAAUAUGCGAGGAUACAUCAACUCAAAGAAGUAAUAGCUCUCAUAUAAGCAACAGGGAAGCCAUUUGUUUAGAGAAUCAGGAAAUAAAGGGGAUGAUGAGGGACCUCAUCACUACCUUAAUAUAAAAUGCUGGUCAUUCUUUGGGCUCACAAAAUCUGUGUCUCCUCUUCAAACAUCCAGCUAAACCACGUAAAUGCAGCAGCAUGUGGAUUUCCAGCUCCGUGUUUGAUCCUGACAUGUAUCCUCAUCAAACCUUCAAGAAGUUGAUUAAACUUGAUGCCAAUUACUACAAACAUAAGAGAAUGUGAUCGAUGAUGCUAGGAUUUGACAGAGAAGGGAGCAUGCAGAUUCCGUUCCACGUGAAGUGGGUCCUGAAUGGAAUCCAUCGGAGUGGUUGAUUGAGAUGGAGGAGUUAUUAGAGACCCUCAAACAAGGUUCAAUAAGUUUUCCUCGUCUUUGUCCUGGUGAAGCCCACCACUUCUUCCGAGAGGAAAACACCAAACCAUGUCUCGAUCAAGAUGGGUAAGUUGAGCCACACAGCCAGUGAAAGGACAUGAAUGCUAAUUUGGUUGGGUGCAAUUAGCAUGACCAUGGACGGUUGAUAAGGGGUGUUGAAGCUGUUGCUGCUGAGCCAUUGCACCAUGUGAAUUCCAUGGCACAAAAGGGACGGAAACUCGCUGUCAAAUCUCAUCAAUUUAAGAUGGUGACAUGUGUUUGAUGAUCAUGUACAGGUGGGUGGAGGAUGGGAAGAUUCUGGAAACCACAAGGGACAGAAGUCAGUGGAGAUGUGCACUGUGGAUAACGUUGUCUCUGGGUUAUCACACAAUUGAUUGUGCCUUGCUUUCUCCAAAAGCCAAACAGUGCUUCAGAAGUCAAAGGUGAAAGUCAUACAGUAACUCCACUGUCAUAUAGCUUGUCUUUUGAUAUAUAUGCUUGUAUGGUUUCUUUAAGAAUGAUAUUCUCUUCUUUUUCCUCGGUCCUCUACCAUGAGUUUCUGGUCUAUACAGGUUUAUUUUAUUAAUCUACUUGUUUCUAACAUGGAAAAUUAAUUACCAACUGGAAACUGUUAUUAGGCUGAAAGUUUGAUUCUCCUUGUGAAGAAGACUUGGAUAGUGCUAUUGGCUGGGAUCUGUUUUUUACUUCUAUGCACU
Molecule: non-coding RNA, 1359 nt
Organism: Musa acuminata subsp. malaccensis (wild Malaysian banana)
Lineage: Eukaryota; Viridiplantae; Streptophyta; Magnoliopsida; Zingiberales; Musaceae
Source: RefSeq, a predicted model, not a curated record